RNAcentral lists this ribosomal RNA (430 nucleotides) under uncultured bacterium. RNAcentral's name for it is "bacterial SSU rRNA". It matches the Rfam family "Bacterial small subunit ribosomal RNA", at positions 355 to 776 of the family's 1533-position model. The record is from RNAcentral. RNAcentral also lists the same sequence under 2 other names.
UGAGGAAUUUUGCGCAAUGGCCGCAAGGCUGACGCAGCAACGCCGCGUGGGUGAAGAAGGCCUUCGGGUCGUAAAGCCCUGUCAGGUGGGAAGAAUGACCGGGGAGGUAAUAUCUUUCCGGAGUGACGGUACCACCAGAGGAAGCACCGGCUAACUCCGUGCCAGCAGCCGCGGUAAUACGGAGGGUGCAAGCGUUAUUCGGAAUUACUGGGCGUAAAGCGCGUGCAGGCGGGUAGGCAAGUCUGAUGUGAAAGCCCCGGGCUUAACCUGGGAAGUGCAUUGGAAACUGCCUAUCUUGAGUGCUGGAGAGGAAGGGGGAAUUCCCGGUGUAGAGGUGAAAUUCGUAGAGAUCGGGAGGAAUACCAGUGGCGAAGGCGCCCUUCUGGACGGCAACUGACGCUGAGACGCGAAAGCGUGGGGAGCAAACAGG